CGGGGUGUGGCGCAGUCCGGUUAGCGUACGUGCUUUGGGAGCAUGGGGCCGGAGGUUCGAAUCCUCUCACCCCGACCA
Molecule: transfer RNA, 78 nt
Filed under: Clostridiales bacterium
Lineage: Bacteria; Bacillati; Bacillota; Clostridia; Eubacteriales
Description: tRNA-Pro
Rfam family: tRNA
About the family: Transfer RNA (tRNA) molecules are approximately 80 nucleotides in length. Their secondary structure includes four short double-helical elements and three loops (D, anti-codon, and T loops). Further hydrogen bonds mediate the characteristic L-shaped molecular structure. tRNAs have two regions of fundamental functional importance: the anti-codon, which is responsible for specific mRNA codon recognition, and the 3' end, to which the tRNAs corresponding amino acid is attached (by aminoacyl-tRNA synthetases). tRNAs cope with the degeneracy of the genetic code in two manners: having more than one tRNA (with a specific anti-codon) for a particular amino acid; and 'wobble' base-pairing, i.e. permitting non-standard base-pairing at the 3rd anti-codon position.
Source: RNAcentral